GAUAUUACUGAGGACAUCCAUAGUCCAUAAGUUAACCUGAAAAAAGCUUAACGCCCAAAACGCAUGCGCCUAGAAUCGGCAUAACGGCAACAAGGCAAGCCCACAUGGUUAACUUAUGAAUAUCACUGGAAACCUCAUACCUUCUGGUUAAACCAAACUUUACCUUUGAUAUCUUAAGUAAAAUAUAUCUUUAUAUUUCACAAAUGCACAUGAUAGUAAAGUAACGUUGAGUCAAGCCAUGAUUUAAUACAGGAAACCUAGCCGGCCAUUGAGGCGGCGAUCAUUGAAAAAUAAAAAUAAAAGACUGAAGAUGAAAGCAAGAGAACCUUAAAGAACAC
Molecule: long non-coding RNA, 338 nt
Filed under: Erythranthe guttata (spotted monkey flower)
Lineage: Eukaryota; Viridiplantae; Streptophyta; Magnoliopsida; Lamiales; Phrymaceae
Description: long non-coding RNA (EGUT_LNC001145)
Source: RNAcentral